GAUGAUGAAAAUUAAGACUUGGACCUAGAACGGAAAGAAAUCGAUUUAUGGACGAGUAUGUCCUUUUCACAUUUGUGGUAUCGAGAGUUCCAGGUUAGCUCGGGUUGGAGGCCGUCAGAGAUAUUAUCACCCUAUCGAGUUAACGUUAUCGGAGUAAGUAAACUCAAGUGAUUCGAGUCUAUGGCAUGUAUAGGGUUUUAAUGUGAGUAUGUAAUAUUAUGAUUUAGCCAAAGGCAUUGGCUUGUUAUUAAGGUAGUAUUAGUCAUGUAAAUUGGCCUAUGUCGGCUAAUGACGUUAUGGGCCCAUAUGAUUAUUCUUAUGCAUUUAUGUUAUUAUUUCUUGUGAUGUGGCUUACAA
This is a long non-coding RNA of Gossypium arboreum, 357 nucleotides long. RefSeq lists it as uncharacterized. The transcript has 2 exons. The record is from RefSeq and is a predicted model, not a curated record. NCBI's taxonomy places the organism in Eukaryota, Viridiplantae, Streptophyta, Magnoliopsida, Malvales, Malvaceae.